RNAcentral lists this ribosomal RNA (506 nucleotides) under uncultured bacterium. Its description in RNAcentral is "partial 16S ribosomal RNA". It matches the Rfam family "Bacterial small subunit ribosomal RNA", at positions 30 to 523 of the family's 1533-position model. The record is from RNAcentral.
AUUGAACGCUGGCGGCAGGCCUAACACAUGCAAGUCGAACGGUAACAGGAAACAGCUUGCUGUUUCGCUGACGAGUGGCGGACGGGUGAGUAAUGUCUGGGAAACUGCCUGAUGGAGGGGGAUAACUACUGGAAACGGUAGCUAAUACCGCAUAACGUCGCAAGACCAAAGAGGGGGACCUGCGGGCCGCUUGCCAUCGGAAGUGCCCAGAUGGGAUUAGCUAGUAGGUGGGGUAACGGCUCACCUAGGCGACGAUCCCUAGCUGGUCUGAGAGGAUGACCAGCCACACUGGAACUGAGACACGGUCCAGACUCCUACGGGAGGCAGCAGUGGGGAAUAUUGCACAAUGGGCGCAAGCCUGAUGCAGCCAUGCCGCGUGUAUGAAGAAGGCCUUCGGGUUGUAAAGUACUUUCAGCGGGGAGGAAGGGAGUAAAGUUAAUACCUUUGCUCAUUGACGUUACCCGCAGAAGAAGCACCGGCUAACUCCGUGCCAGCAGCCGCAGUAA